AACGAACGCUGGCGGCAGGCUUAACACAUGCAAGUCGAACGGAUCCUUCGGGAUUAGUGGCAGACGGGUGAGUAGCGCGUGGGAACGUACCCUUUGCUACGGAAUAACUCAGGGAAACUUGAGCUAAUACCGUAUGUGCCCUACGGGGGAAAGAUUUAUCGGCAAAGGAUCGGCCCGCGUUGGAUUAGCUAGUUGGUGGGGUAAUGGCCUACCAAGGCGACGAUCCAUAGCUGGUCUGAGAGGAUGAUCAGCCACACUGGGACUGAGACACGGCCCAGACUCCUACGGGAGGCAGCAGUGGGGAAUAUUGGACAAUGGGCGCAAGCCUGAUCCAGCCAUGCCGCGUGAGUGAUGAAGGUCUUAGGAUUGUAAAGCUCUUUCACCGGUGAAGAUAAUGACGGUAGCCGGAGAAGAAGCCCCGGCUAACUUCGUG
Molecule: ribosomal RNA, 433 nt
Filed under: uncultured bacterium
Lineage: Bacteria
Description: partial 16S ribosomal RNA
Rfam family: Bacterial small subunit ribosomal RNA
Source: RNAcentral